Populus euphratica (Euphrates poplar) is the source of this 2993-nucleotide RNA transcript. RefSeq lists it as uncharacterized. The transcript has 11 exons. The record is from RefSeq and is a predicted model, not a curated record. NCBI's taxonomy places the organism in Eukaryota, Viridiplantae, Streptophyta, Magnoliopsida, Malpighiales, Salicaceae.
CACUCCCUCUGUUUAUUGAAUUUAUAUUUAUUUAUUACCCAAAUUACACUAAUGAAUCCCCCAAAUCCCUCUUUUCUCAGAAUCUAGGGUUUUCAAAUUCAGAGCACCUGGAUCCAAAUCCAGUAAAACUCUAGCCCCCCUUUCAAAAUUUAGGGUUCUAAGAGUUGCGGUUUCCUUUGAUAUUCCACGAAUUUGCUUUUGGUUCGCAGAUUAGGGCUUCGCUUGUUCUGUUUGACUCUCAAUUCCUUAAUUCGGAAGUUUUUUUCUUCUCUGGAAAGAUUUUCUGUUUUCUUUGCGGCGUUUAGGGAUUUGAUUCAACUGAGAGUAUCUUUUUGUUGUCGUGUUUUUGAUUGACGGACUACAUCGUGAAAAUUUGAAAUUUUAGUUUUUUGUUAUAAUGACUAAGGUUGGCGAGGAGGAAAUUGUAUAUGAGAGUGAUCCCGAGGAAGAGAAGCGAUUGCUUGUAAGGAGAAGAAGAGAAGCUGCGAGCGACGACGAGGAAGGUGAAGGAGAAGAGAAGCCUAGAAAUAAUCGGAGGGCUCCAAUUCACUCCGAUGAAUCUGACGAUCAGGGUGGCGCUGCAGACUAUGACGAAGACGAAGAAGAGGCAUUAAAUGAAGAGGAAGAUGAAGAUGGUGUUUUUGAAGAUGAAGAGGAAGAAGAGGUUUAUGAGGAAGACGAAGGGAAAGAAGGGAAUAAGGAGGGAGUAGGAGGCAACGGCAAUGCUGGGGUUGAGGUUAGGGAGAAGGAAAUCGAGGGGAGGAAGGAGCAGGUGGGAGGAGAGGAGAAAGUGGAGGGGGAGGAAGGGGAAGAGGGGAAGAAGGGGAACCAGCCUUUUGCGGUGCCUACUGCUGGGGCUUUUUACAUGCACGACGACAGGUUUAGGGACAGUGCUGGUGGUCGGCACAGGCGAACCUUUGGUGGAAGGAAUUUAUGGGAGUCCAAAGAUGAUAGGAAAUGGGGGCAUGACAAGUUUGAAGAGAUGACAUUGCAGGAAAGGCAUUAUGAACAGGGAAGGAGGACUGCUAAAGGUAAUUUUCGGGCCCGUGGUGGUAAAAGUCGAGGUCCAGAAUGGGGAUAUGCCAGACGCAACAGGUCUAAAUCAUUCAGCGAUGGUAACAAUCAGAACCAGGCACCAAAAGUUGUGAGAGGGAGAGGACCCAGAAAGUUUGAAUCUACUUUCAAGAGUCGCAGAGAGAGGCCUCCAGUGCAAAACAAACAGCCUGGGAAACCCCUUGAGAAACAUUCACAUGGUAGUUCAAAUACAGAAUCUGAUGAAUUGCCCGCUAGAAAACAUUCAAGCUUGAGCUCUGCUUCUCCUCCCUUUUAUCCUUCCGGAUCUUCAAAUAAAGACAUCACUUCAAGUCAAAAAAGGGAUAUACACGGUGCAAGCACAAGCAAGAAUCUUCGCACUCCUGUUAUGGAUGAGAAUUUUCCUACGCAACAACACAGUGCAUUGGUGCGGGGGAAGAAUAUAGCCAACUCUGUUUCAAUUGACAAGCUUUAUAUUGAUGAUUCCAUCACUCCGACAGCAGGAAAGCCUUUGAGCAAUAUGCAAAUGCCACCUUCUGGAUCUUCUGUGGUCAAUUCUAUUACAUCUUCACAAUCUAGGGCUCAAGGAAGGAGUGCAGCUAUGUCAAGCCAGAUGACUUACCAGGGAGCUCCGCAGCACAACCAAAUCAACAAAACCUCUCCCACUGUGCCGAUCCACUCUCUUCAGCGAAUUCCUGCUCAAAACCAUUUUCAACCUUCUGCCCAGCAGUUAGUCCAGCAUCCUAGUAGUGAUUCUCCAGUCUCUUCUCCACCAAAAACUGCUUUGUCACAAAAUUCUUCUGAAGCUGUUGAAGCAGAGACUGCUGUGGAAUCAAGUAAAUCCAGAAAUGCAUUGGCUGGAAAGGGAAAAGGCAUAAUUCAAGGAAAUGGAAGAGGAUCUUUUCUUUAUGGUGGGACACAGGUUGUGGGAGCCACAGGGAAUAUUGGUGUUGGGCAUGGCGAUCAGAACUUCUCUGGAACACCAACCUUUUUGCCAGUUAUGCAAUUUGGUGGUCAGCAUCCUGGUGGUCUUGGAGUUCCUGCGGUUGGCAUGGCAUUUCCUGGAUAUGUUGCUCAGCCUCAACUUGGCUUAGGGAAUUCUGAAAUGACAUGGUUACCAGUUCUGGCUGGUGCUGCUGGAGCUUUAGGGGCCACAUAUUGUUCACCUUAUAUUUCGGUUGAUGGUGCUUAUCAUGCUCGCCCAUCUGGGAAAACAUCUUCAUUGGGUUCUUCAAGCAAAGAAAGUAGUACUAAUAUACCCCAUAAUGAAUGGAAGAAUACACAGAGAUCUGAAUUUGCAAGUGAUGAAUUUGGACAGCGACAAAAACCUCGCAGAUACUCAGAGAUGGAUUUUAAGCAGCCAAGUACAAGCACUUAGAUGAAAUGGAGUGUGUUUGAAUAAGCAGAUAAAGGCCUUUAUGAGGCCCUUUGUGAUCUAUAGCUUUUAUUCUGGAGGGCUUUGGGCCACAGUAUGUCCCAGGAUGUUCUAGUUAUGUAACAAAAAACCUGUUCUUGCUGCAGUCAAUUGGAGAACAUAACUGUGGCUUGGCAGGUGGCAUUUUGUUGUUUAAACUUGUGGUUUUCUUGUGGCUUGGUUUAUUAGUGAAGCUUGUGAGAAAUGUAUGCGGGCUUCUCCAAAAACUAUAUACGAAAAAAAUUGGUAACCAAAAAAAAAAAAAACAAGAAUUAUUGUGCAGAAGGUGUUUGGUCGGUGACUUUGAGUUUUGCUUUUACAAAGCAGCUGGUAUUUUAGAAUUUCUAUCCGUCUUUUAUGUAUGUGGCUGGUUGAUCAGUAAAGUCUGGUUUCGAGGGUUCCAUUUCUCUACGCUAGAUUUUUUUGUUUGGUUCAGGACUGCCUUCCUGCUGAAAUCAUGCGGGAAGAGAUUAUUUGUUUAGCGGACCCGUAUUUGUGGGGACAAGUAACUCUUCUAAGCAGUGGAAUGAGGUUAUGAUUUAAAAUA